RNAcentral lists this ribosomal RNA (476 nucleotides) under uncultured organism. RNAcentral describes it as "partial 16S ribosomal RNA". It matches the Rfam family "Bacterial small subunit ribosomal RNA", at positions 329 to 797 of the family's 1533-position model. The record is from RNAcentral.
ACGUACACUCCUACGGGAGGCAGCAGUAGGGAAUCUUCCACAAUGGGUGCAAACCUGAUGGAGCAAUGCCGCGUGAGUGAAGAAGGUCUUCGGAUCGUAAAGCUCUGUUGUUAGAGAAGAACACGUGCUAGGUAACUACUAGCGCCUUGACGGUAUCUAACCAGAAAGUCACGGCUAACUACGUGCCAGCAGCCGCGGUAAUACGUAGGUGACAAGCGUUGUCCGGAUUUAUUGGGCGUAAAGGGAGCGCAGGCGGUCUGUUUAGUCUAAUGUGAAAGCCCACGGCUUAACCGUGGAACGGCAUUGGAAACUGACAGACUUGAAUGUAGAAGAGGAAAAUGGAAUUCCAAGUGUAGCGGUGGAAUGCGUAGAUAUUUGGAGGAACACCAGUGGCGAAGGCGAUUUUCUGGUCUAACAUUGACGCUGAGGCUCGAAAGCGUGGGGAGCGAACAGGAUUAGAAACCCCGGUAGUCCCA